GGCGGCCGUCCCGGGCCGGGUCCCCUUCCUCCUCGGGGCACCGACGGCCUCUCCUGGCCGGGCUGAGGCCGGCUCGGCCCCGUGCGGCCUUCCGGUUUGCUAGCAUUUUCCUUCUGGGACGCGCACGGAGGCUGUGGAGAGACCCGGCCGGGGUCCGAGGGGGUGGGCGGCCCUAGCGCGGGUCGGGCCGCGGGUCCCACCUGCUGCCGCCCGCCCCGAGUGCCCCAGAGACUCUGCCGCCGCCCGAGCGCGCGGCCCGGGCCACCUGAUGGAACGUGCGGAGCUCACUCCUCCACCUGGCGCCCAUUUGGCUUUUUAUUAUCUGCCUCCCGCAUCCUAACUGGUUCCAGAUUUGCAACCUCAGAGGCGCAGACACCCGGCUGGGCCACGCCAUCGAUCCCCAGAUGGAGUCUUGCUCUGUUGUCAGGCUGGAGUGCAGCGGCCACUGUUACCUCCGCCUCCCGGGUUCACGCGAUUCUCCUGCCUCAGCCUCCCAAGUAGCUGGGACUACAGGUGCGUGCCACCAUGCCCAGCUAAUUUUUGUAUUUUUAGUAGAGAUGGGGUUUCAUCAUGUUGGCCAGGAUGGUCUCGAUCUCCUGACCUUGUGAUCCACCCGCCUCGGCCUCCCAAAGUGCUGGGAUUACAGGUGUGAGCCACCGUGCCCGGCCUAAAGCAGGCCCAGCUCCAUGAUGAUGCCUCUCUCCAGAGACCUCCUGACCUCCUGACCUGCACAGCCCGGGAGACCACAGCCCACAGCCGCUGCCCCAGGUGUCCACAAGCAUCUCAGCCCCUCCACAGCCCACGCAUCUCCUCUUUCAUUGGCUCAUGGGGAGUGAAGGACAAUGUCUGAAUUAAAUGCCGUGCUUUAAACUGAAAGGGAAACUUAGCAAAUAAAUGAGAGUAACAACACUAGAUCAUUGGCCAGUGUGGUUGCAAUUCUUCCUUUCCCUCCAGAUUUCUGUUUAACCUUUAAAUCUCAUUUCGGCAUGCCUCUUGGUCCUCCUUGGAUUGAUAUUAAGUUGUACACAGGCUACUUCUUGUAAGACGAUGAGAA
Molecule: long non-coding RNA, 1054 nt
Filed under: Homo sapiens (human)
Lineage: Eukaryota; Metazoa; Chordata; Mammalia; Primates; Hominidae
Description: non-protein coding LINC00524:4
Source: RNAcentral